ACUUUGAACCGUUGUUUUGACAGAAAGUCAUCGAUACUCCAUGAAAACACUGACGCAGCACCUCAAACAAGCACCAGUAUCAGACCAGGGAACUUGUGGGCUUCUUCAGAAGCUUGGUGCAGAUAUUUUAUCGGAGAACGAAGAUGGAGUGAGGUUGACACCAGCCUCACUUCAGCUCGGCCCAGAGACCGAAGCAGCUACAAGCCCUGGAGCAACAAGGCCUCUGUCCCAGAUAAACACCCCAACCUGCUCAAGUGUCUGGCCUGCUUCAAGCCUGACAGGCCAAGCACCAGCAUGGGAGAAGACCCUCUUACUGGAACUCACUGUUUUCAGACCCUUAAUACGUAUUAGCAGGUUUUUGUGUCUUAUCAGAGGGCCUGGAGAAGCAGGCAGCUGAUGGUUCACAGUAUCCACUGGAUGUAAAUGUGAUAUACUGGUUUAACUGGGUGUCUGAAUCAGAAAGAUUAACCUUUCCAAGUUUCCUUUAUACAACUUUGAUUAUAAAUGUAGAAAAUAUUGGUUCAGUCCU
Sander lucioperca (pikeperch) is the source of this 529-nucleotide long non-coding RNA. RefSeq lists it as uncharacterized. The transcript has 2 exons. The record is from RefSeq and is a predicted model, not a curated record. Lineage: Eukaryota; Metazoa; Chordata; Actinopteri; Perciformes; Percidae.